Molecule: non-coding RNA, 111 nt
Organism: Haemonchus contortus (barber pole worm)
Lineage: Eukaryota; Metazoa; Nematoda; Chromadorea; Rhabditida; Trichostrongylidae
Source: Rfam
GGUUUUAACCCAGUAUCUCAAGGUACUACGGGAUUCUGACCUUCCACUUGUGGUUGCGUCAAAAAACCUUAAUUUUUGGAUCGCUUUCCCGGGGAUAUCCGGGAAGGCAAC